UCCAUGAUGGUGUAAUGCUCACAUCGCUGUCUUUCACACGGCAGCUCGGGGUUUAAUUCCCCGUCGUGGAA
Molecule: non-coding RNA, 71 nt
Organism: Sphaerobolus stellatus SS14
Lineage: Eukaryota; Fungi; Basidiomycota; Agaricomycetes; Geastrales; Sphaerobolaceae
Source: the annotation of a GenBank genome assembly